AACGAACGCUGGCGGCAGGCCUAACACAUGCAAGUCGAGCGCCCUUUCGGGGGAGCGGCGGACGGGUGAGUAACGCGUGGGAAUAUGCCCUUCUCUACUGAAUAUCAUCGGGAAACUGAGAGUAAUAUCGUAUACGCUCUGUGGGGGAAAGAUUUAUCGGGGAAGGAUUAGCCCGCGUUGGAUUAGGUAGUUGGUGGGGUAAUGGCCUACCAAGACGACGAUCCAUAGCUGGUUUGAGAGGAUGAUCAGCCACACUGGGACUGAGACACGGCCCAGACUCCUACGGGAGGCAGCAGUGGGGAAUCUUAGACAAUGGGGGCAAGCCUGAUCUAGCCAUGCCGCGUGAGUGAUGAAGGCCUUAGGGUUGUAAAGCUCUUUUAGCUGGGAAGAUAAUGACGGUACCGGCAGAAGAAGCUCCGGCUAACUCCGUG
Molecule: ribosomal RNA, 431 nt
Filed under: uncultured bacterium
Lineage: Bacteria
Description: partial 16S ribosomal RNA
Rfam family: Bacterial small subunit ribosomal RNA
Source: RNAcentral